GCUUACGGCCACACCUCCCUGAGCACAUCCGAUCUCGUCUGAUCUCGGUAGCUAAGCAGCGUCGGGCCCGGUUAGUACUUGGAUGGGAGACCGCCUGGGAAUACCAGGUGCUGGAAGCC
Ribosomal RNA from Esox lucius (northern pike), 119 nucleotides. Lineage: Eukaryota; Metazoa; Chordata; Actinopteri; Esociformes; Esocidae. The record is from Ensembl.